UUUUCGGCUUUCGGUACUGCAUGUCGAGCGAGAGAGCCAGUGUAGCUUGCUCCUUUGACGUUAGCGGCGGACGGGUGAGUAACACGUGGGCACCUACCCUAUAGUUUGGGAUAACUCCGGGAAACCGGGGCUAAUACCGAAUAAUCUCUUUUGCUUCAUGGUGAAAGACUGAAAGACGGUUUCGGCUGUCGCUAUAGGAUGGGCCCGCGGCGCUUAGCUAGUUGGUGAGGUAACGGCUCACCAAGGCGACGAUGCGUAGCCAACUGAGAGGGUGAUCGGCCACACUGGGACUGAGACACGGCCCAGACUCCUACGGGAGGCAGCAGUAGGGAAUCUUCCACAAUGGGCGAAAGCUUGUGGGAGCAACGCCGCGUGAGUAAGAAGGUUUUCGGAUCGUAAACUCUGUGGUAAGGAAAGAACAAGUACAGUAGAACUGGCUGUACCUUGACGGUACUUAUUAGAAAGCCACGGUAACUACGGGGCAACCGGCCGCGGAAAUACGUAGGUGGCAAGCUUUGUCCGGAUUAAUUGGGCGUAAGGGGGCCGCGGGCGGCCCUUUAAGUUUUAUGUGAAACCCACGGCCCACCGUGGAAGGGCUUGGGAAACUGGGGGACUUGAGUGCAGAAAAGGAAGUGGAAUUCCAAGUUGUAGCGGUUAAUGCUUAGAGUUGGAAGGACACCAGUGGCGAAGCGACUUUCUGGCCUGUAACUGAGGUGAGGCGCGAAAGGGGGGGAGCAAACAGGAUUAGAUACCUGGUAGCCACGCCGUAAACAAUGAGUGCUAAGUGUUAGGGGGUUUCGCCCUUAGUGCUGCAGCUAACGCAUAAGCACUCCGCUGGGAGUACGGCGCAAGAUGAACUCAAAGAAUGACGGGGCCCGACAAGCGUGGACAUGUGUGAUUCGAGCACGGAGACUUACAGUCUGAAUCGUGACAUGUGGAUAUAGUUCCUCAGGGCACGUAAGUGUCAUGUUCGUAGCAGUCUGAAGUCGAUAGUCGACAGGCACUGACUAGUGCCAUAUGACUAGUAUCGGUAACUGGAAGUGGUAGCAUCAGCUUAGACGUACACGUCUAGAGGAGUACAGU
This 1083-nucleotide ribosomal RNA is filed under the name Lysinibacillus macroides. Its description in RNAcentral is "bacterial SSU rRNA". It matches the Rfam family "Bacterial small subunit ribosomal RNA", at positions 36 to 1243 of the family's 1533-position model. The record is from RNAcentral. Lineage: Bacteria; Bacillati; Bacillota; Bacilli; Caryophanales; Bacillaceae.